Molecule: ribosomal RNA, 509 nt
Filed under: Ianthopsis multispinosa
Lineage: Eukaryota; Metazoa; Arthropoda; Malacostraca; Isopoda; Acanthaspidiidae
Description: partial 16S ribosomal RNA
Rfam family: Bacterial large subunit ribosomal RNA
Source: RNAcentral
CCUGGUUAUCCAAAACAUUUCCUUUUUUUUUAAAAGGUAAGCUCUGCGCAAUGAUUUAAAUAGCCGCAGUAUCUUGACUGUGCUAAGGUAGCAUAAUAAUUUGCCUUAUAAUUGAUGGCUAGUAUGAAAGAGUUAAUAAUUUUUAACUUUUAUCUUCUUCUUGGAAAUUGAUAUCUAAGUAAAAAAGCUUAGCUAGAUUGGGGGGACGAUAAGACCCUAUAAAACUUUAUUAAUAAAUAAAUAUACUAGAAUAAAGACUAAUAAUUAAUUAAGCUGGGGCGGCUACUGAAAAACAUCUGUAAAUUAAACUUUUCGCAGAAAUCAAAGAUCUUUCUAAGAUAUAGAACAAGUUACUUUAGGGAUAACAGCGUAAUCUUUUUAAAUAGAUCUUAUAGACAAAAAGGAAUUACGACCUCGAUGUUGAAUUGGGGGACCCUGGGGGGGUAAAAGAUCCUAUAAAGGGAGGUCCUGUUCGACCUUUAAAUCCCCACGUGAUCUGAGUCAGACCG